Molecule: ribosomal RNA, 774 nt
Filed under: uncultured Neocallimastigales
Lineage: Eukaryota; Fungi; Neocallimastigomycota; Neocallimastigomycetes; Neocallimastigales
Description: partial large subunit ribosomal RNA
Rfam family: Eukaryotic large subunit ribosomal RNA
Source: RNAcentral
AGAGAGAGACAUGCGCGCAUAUCAAUAAGCGGAGGAAAAGAAACUAACAAGGAUUCCCCUAGUAACGGCGAGUGAAGCGGGAAGAGCUCAAAUUUGAAAUCUUAAAGGGUUUCCCUUUACGAAUUGUAGUUUAAAGAAGUGUUUUCUGUUGAGGUUUUGGUAAAAGUUCUUUGGAAUAGGACAUCAUAGAGGGUGAGAAUCCCGUAUUUGACCUUUACUUUCAACUUUGUGAUACACUUUCAAAGAGUCGGAUUGUUUGGGAAUGCAGUCCAAAAUGGGUGGUAAAUUUCAUCUAAAGCUAAAUAUUGGCGAGAGACCGAUAGCGAACAAGUACCGUGAGGGAAAGAUGAAAAGAACUUUGAAAAGAGAGUUAAACAGUACGUGAAAUUGUCAAAAGGGAAGCGUUUGACACCAGUGUUGUUUUUCUGAAAAUCAAUUAAAGAACUGUUUAUGCUAAGUUGUUUAGACUUUAUCAGCUAACUGUUUAGUUUUGAGCUUUUCUUUAAUGCACUUUUCAGUUAACAAGUCAACAUCAAUUUCUUUUGCUGUAAAAAAGCUUGAGGAAGGUGGCUUGAGAUUCGUCUUAAGUGUUUAUAGCCUCCUGCCUAUGCAGUCGGAGAGAUUGAGGUCUGCAGCGUAGAUCCUUCGGGGCUAAAUGCAUUUGUGCUAAGUUAUAGCAUUUUAUAGACAACUUGUUGACUAUGAUUUGUCUUGUAGCUUACUCGCUUAUGUUAUUUUACCUACGCUUAGGAUGUUGAGCGCAUGUCUCUCUCU